GGGCAUUGGCAACUGUCGUAUCAGCGCCUAAACUUCAGUGUGCUGGGACCCCUUGAGAGGUAAGGGCGUUGUGCUGCGUGGCUGCACCUUUUAGCAUCUUAUUGGAGCUGGUGAGACAGCAGGCAACCCUCCCCAUUUAUCCAGGCUUGGGACUGGCUCAUAGUUGGGCUGGCUUGACUCCCAUGAGGCUGAGUACUUCUUUGAAUAUAUAAACUCCAGUGCUAUCCCUGCAUAUGUGCAUGGCUGUCAUAACUGAAUCUUGCACUUAAAAGAACUAAGACAUUUUUGCAAGGUGGGAAGUCUCGUGUCAAGAAGGAAAAAAAUAAGACAUUGAAUUGGGAAUGCUAGAUGGAGGCUGAUGCUCCAGGGAGAGGAGAAAACUUACCUGACAGGUGAUGCAAGAGAUGAGACACCAAUACCUUUUAAGACUGACUAGAAGAUGAGGAACCAGUCAGUAAAUGUGUGGCUGGUGCUGCAAACAACCACCACCACCACCACCUGCCAUCAUCUUGCUGCCAACUGCUUCCUGUUGUCAGACCCCGCUGCUCCCACGGAGAUGAUAAGGAACCAGCCAGCAUCAAUGUGGCUAUGACUGCUGACCACCACCCACCACAGCCAGCUACUGUCCACUGCUGGCACCUCGCAGCUUCCUGCUAAAGACUGAAUCACUGUUGUUUUCACUGGGCCAAAAGACACCUGAAAAGGCACUUGUACUUUAGUGACUGAUUGAUCUUUAUCUUAAGCAAUCAUUUAAUGCAGAAAAUGUGAAUUAGGUCUUACCACUAAUAAAUGUAAUGCACUGUCUCCAAUACCUCACCCACCUCUGAUAUUAAUUUAACAUAUGACUUUUCAAGUAAAUAAAACUUGUAUAGUU
This is a long non-coding RNA of Eriocheir sinensis (Chinese mitten crab), 874 nucleotides long. RefSeq lists it as uncharacterized. The transcript is spliced from 4 exons. Lineage: Eukaryota; Metazoa; Arthropoda; Malacostraca; Decapoda; Varunidae. The record is from RefSeq and is a predicted model, not a curated record.